CCUACGGGAGGCAGCAGUGAGGAAUAUUGGUCAAUGGACGAGAGUCUGAACCAGCCAAGUAGCGUGAAGGAUGACUGCCCUAUGGGUUGUAAACUUCUUUUAUAAAGGAAUAAAACGAGGCACGUGUGCCUUUUUGCAUGUACUUUAUGAAUAAGGAUCGGCUAACUCCGUGCCAGCAGCCGCGGUAAUACGGAGGAUCCGAGCGUUAUCCGGAUUUAUUGGGUUUAAAGGGAGCGUAGAUGGGUUGUUAAGUCAGUUGUGAAAGUUUGCGGCUCAACCGUAAAAUUGCAAUUGAUACUGGCAGUCUAGAGUACAGUUGAGGUAAGCGGAAUUCGUGGUGUAGCGGUGAAAUGCUUAGAUAUCACGAAGAACCCCGAUUGCGAAGGCAGCUUACUAAACUGUGACUGACAUUGAUGCUCGAAAGUGUGGGUAUCAAACAGGAUUAGAUACCCGAGUAGUC
This 460-nucleotide ribosomal RNA is filed under the name uncultured bacterium. RNAcentral's name for it is "partial 16S ribosomal RNA". It matches the Rfam family "Bacterial small subunit ribosomal RNA", at positions 338 to 795 of the family's 1533-position model. The record is from RNAcentral.